CAAGUUGAAGAAUUGUCUGAAAGAAAAUACAGUGUGUCUAAACUGGAAAAGUCCUGUAAUAGUUUGUUCAUGAGCAUUUACACAAUGGAGUUGCUGUUUCAUCAUGGGGGUACUGUGGACAAACCCAGGGCUGCUGCUCAAGCUGUAAAAGCCAAAGGUCCACCCCUUUUUUCCAGUCUCAAGCUGAAGAUCUUUAUGUAGAAGGCCUUCCCC
This 213-nucleotide long non-coding RNA is filed under the name Homo sapiens (human). RNAcentral's name for it is "PREDICTED lncRNA (TCONS_00237366)". Lineage: Eukaryota; Metazoa; Chordata; Mammalia; Primates; Hominidae. The record is from RNAcentral.